This 500-nucleotide ribosomal RNA is filed under the name uncultured euryarchaeote. RNAcentral's name for it is "bacterial SSU rRNA". It matches the Rfam family "Archaeal small subunit ribosomal RNA", at positions 343 to 849 of the family's 1478-position model. Lineage: Archaea; Methanobacteriati; Methanobacteriota. The record is from RNAcentral.
ACACUUUACAAUGCGGGAAACCGCGAUAAGGGAACCCCGAGUGCCAGCAUCAAAUGUUGGCUGUCCAGAUGAUUAAAAAUCAUUUGUUAGCAAGGGCCGGGCAAGACCGGUGCCAGCCGCCGCGGUAACACCGGCGGCCCGAGUGGUAGCCGUUUUAUUGGGUCUAAAGGGUCCGUAGCCGGCCUGAUAAGUCCUUUGGGAAAUCUGGCAGCUUAACUGUCAGGCUUCUAAGGGAUACUGUCAGGCUUGGGACCGGAAGAGGUAAGGGGUACUCCAGGGGUAGGAGUGAAAUCUUGUAAUCCCUGGGGGACCAUCUGUGGCGAAGGCGCCUACCAGAACGGGUCCGACGGUGAGGGACGAAAGCUAGGGGAGCAAACCGGAUUAGAUACCCGGGUAGUCCUAGCUGUAAACGAUGCUCGCUAGGUGUCAGACACGGUGCGACCGUGUUUGGUGCCGCAGGGAAGCCGUUAAGCGAGCCACCUGGAAGUACGUCGCAAGGC